This 1425-nucleotide long non-coding RNA is filed under the name Salmo trutta (river trout). RNAcentral's name for it is "lncRNA (ENSSTUG00000029669.1)". The record is from RNAcentral. Lineage: Eukaryota; Metazoa; Chordata; Actinopteri; Salmoniformes; Salmonidae.
CACGAACAGGGAUGUAAACAAAUUUGUGCACAUCAUUUGAGGUAAAUAACCUUUCAAGGAUCUUUAAUUUCAGCUCAUGAAACAUGGGACCAACACUUUACAUGUUGCAUUUAGAUUUCUUUCAGUAUAGAUAACCACCGACUGUAGUUACGUGUACAAUGCACAUUACCUUCCUUACAAGUAAAAAACGAGCAUAUAAUAGCAUAAUGAAUGUUGUGACCUCUUAAUUGAAAAUGUUUCUUUAUAAACAUCACAUGCCACAGAUUUAGGACCUGAAUGUAGAAAUCUUGGUCUGCUGGCCAGUGCCCAAAAUCCUUAUGUUAUAUCCCUGCAUGUCAGUACCUUUCAGACAAUCCCCCUAUCACUGUUGGUCCUCCUCAGUGACCUUAUGGCUGAAGGUUUUAACUUUCCUCUUGAGAAUUAGAAUCAGAAGUAGUUGUAUAGCUCAUUACAAUACUUCACCUCUUCUGGCAAAUAGUAACCUAGACUGUCCUGAUCAUCUAGUUGAGCAUUCCAGAUAAUUCCUUCAUCUCAGCAGAAAUGUCCCAUCCACAUAUUAGGAUUUUAGAUGUGCAGAUAGACCAAAGCCCAGUCUAUUUUACUGUUACUAUAGUCAAGUCUGUGGGUUAUGGUAUUUUAAUGUAGAUGUUAUCAUUUCAGUAAUCAAUUUAGCUAGCUGGUAAAAGUAACUUUUGCUGUCUUUCAGAUGGAUGGACCGGAAACCCAGUGACAACACUUGGGUCUGUAGCUGCCAUUUUCCGAUGGGAAAGAGAAAAGGCUCUGUAUUUACCAGAAAAGGUAGCUCAUCCACCAUGGCAGAAGAUGAAGAUCCAGACUGUUGAUUGGGGAACAAGAACAAACAAUAAGGCAUGAGGAUUGGGUGUUGAGUAUGAGAAACAAUUUGUUUUCUGUCCAGAUAAAGAUGGUGAUACAGCAUUGCAAAAUACCUACCACUGACCAUGUCUCUUUGUUUUCCAGUGCAACAGGAGUGCAUCCGUCAGUCCAUCCAGUGCAUGGACAUCCCGCGCCAGUGUCAUCCGGUUGUGGAGACUACAGCAGAACAAGCCUGUAGACCGACAGACAUGAGACGUGACAUGCGGAACAUCAGGCUCGCCCCACGAGAAGCAGUGCAUGAUCAACGCCACCCUCAGCAAGGAGAUCUGCUGGAAGUUAUGUACUCUCUCACUCUGGGGGGCGCAGCUGUGUGGAGAUAUGAAGAGAGAGGCUAGCUUGAGCAGCAGCGACGAUUCUAUCAGCAGAAAGGAGUAACAAAACUGGCAUUAUCACUUGUUUGUACGCUAUGCUCCCACCAUGAUCUCACACCCCUGCUAAAAUGCCACAUAGACAAAAGUGGUUGUAUUUUCCUAUAAAAGCUGAGAACCAACUGUUGUUUGUUGGGCUCUUGACUGUUGCACCUGCUCCAUU